GUUUACCUUCCCCUUUCCUCAAUGGACUGUUGGCACUCACUGGACUCACACUUGAUUUGGUGCUCUUUCCCCCAGGUUUUCUUUUGGACAU
Long non-coding RNA from Etheostoma spectabile (orangethroat darter), 91 nucleotides. RefSeq lists it as uncharacterized. The transcript has 3 exons. The record is from RefSeq and is a predicted model, not a curated record. NCBI's taxonomy places the organism in Eukaryota, Metazoa, Chordata, Actinopteri, Perciformes, Percidae.